AGAGGAGACGCUCGCCGUCCCCUGACCCCCAGCUCAGCGCCGGCUCCAAGCCCAGCCAGUGAUCCCUCUAGCCUUCUCCAGUCGCCCCCGCCAUGUCCGAGGAGCUGGCCCAGGGCCCCAAGGAGAGCCCCCCGGCGCCGAGUGCAGGCCCCAGAGAGGUGUGGAAGAAGGGUGGCCGCCUGCUGUCGGUGCUUCUGGCCGUGAACGUGCUGCUUCUCGCCAGCACGCUCAUCAGCGGCGGAGCCUUCAACAAGGUGGCCGUGUACGACACCGACGUGUUCGCCCUGCUCACUGCGAUGAUGCUGCUGGCAACGCUCUGGAUCCUCUUCUACCUCCUCCGAACCGUGCGCUGCCCCUGCGCGGUACCCUACCGGGACGCGCACGCUGGCCCCAUCUGGCUCCGAGGUGGGCUGGUGCUGUUUGGAAUCUGCACCCUCAUCAUGGAUGUCUUCAAGACCGGCUACUACUCCAGUUUCUUUGAGUGCCAGUCGGCCAUCAAGAUCCUGCACCCCAUCAUCCAGGCUGUGUUUGUCAUCAUCCAGACCUACUUUCUCUGGGUCUCCGCUAAAGACUGCGUUCACAUCCACCUGGAUCUGACCUGGUGAGAACUGCAGCUCGAUGCCUGUGCCCAGUGUGCUGGUGUUCACCUUGCAGGAGAGAUUCAGGCUUUCCACCCCGGGGCAGGGCCUCUCCUUAUGUCCCCUGGGUGGGGUUGCAGCCAAGCCCUCCUUGCUUUGUCAGGCUGACUUCCACUACCUUGUGGGGCCCUUUCUCCCAGGGGAGGGAGUGGUGGUGGCCCCCGGGAAAACCUCCUAGCCCUGUCUUUGGUGGCAUACCAGCCAGGCUGUGUUCCUACCAAAACCAGCUUCCCUGUUCACACAGGGCCUGGCUGCUUUCUCAUUUCUCAACAUCAGCUCUCAGUAUUGCUCCCCAACCUGCCAAAGGGUCACAGGCCUCUUUGUCCCCACCCCCAACCCCAAACAGGUGUGGUCUCAUGUUCACACUCACCACCAACCUGGCCAUCUGGAUGGCAGCCGUGGUGGAUGAAUCUGUGCACCAAUCCCACUCCUACAGCAGUUCUCACAGCAACGCCAGCCACGCCCGUCUCGCCUCUGACCGUGAGUUUCCUCUUAAUGCUGGCCCUGUGGCUACCAGGCCUUGGGCCGGGUGCUUUGUGAAUUUAUAACGUCAGUCUCCCGUGCCCACAUGAGGGCAUAGAGGCAAAGGAGAGAGCCAGGGACCUCCUCCUGCUGCAGGAUCUACCUCUGCAGUAUAGGUGUAGGUGACCCCAGAAGGGAAGUAUCAGGGGCACCCUUUUAUCCUUGAGGCUGCAGCCCAGGACCCCCUGUCCAGUCUCCAUCUCAC
This 1365-nucleotide small RNA is filed under the name Pongo abelii (Sumatran orangutan). Its description in RNAcentral is "retained intron". The record is from RNAcentral. Lineage: Eukaryota; Metazoa; Chordata; Mammalia; Primates; Hominidae.